RNAcentral lists this long non-coding RNA (3760 nucleotides) under Panax ginseng (ginseng). RNAcentral describes it as "long non-coding RNA (PGIN_LNC001591)". Lineage: Eukaryota; Viridiplantae; Streptophyta; Magnoliopsida; Apiales; Araliaceae. The record is from RNAcentral.
UUCUUUGGCCAUUAUUUAGGCACGAAAAUGAAAAACUUAACCCCAAAUUUUGUCGCGCGAGAUCGAUAAUUGAUUGUGUGAAUAAUGUACUUAACCCCAAAUUUUGUCGCGCGAGAUCCAUAAUUAAUUGUGUGAAUAAUGUUUCCUACGGUUAAAGGGAUUAUCAUUAAUCCCAAAAAAUUUCUCUCAACUUCAUCUUCGCAUCAAAAAAUCUGUUCUCUCUGUCCCAAUUGCAAAAGCCCUAACUGGGAAGCCCCAAAGACCUGUCAAUGCAAUUUGUUUGAAGGUAAUUUUUUUCCAACAACUUUGUUUCUCCAUAUUCCAUUACUUGCUGAAAUGAUUUUCUUCUUCAUCUUCUUCGGUACGCCACUUCGCUAUCUCCCAUCGUUUUGUUCUGCAACAAAUUAGUCGUACACUGAGGUACCAAUGGUAUGUAUGAUUAUAUCUAUCCGUUAAACCCUUAGUUAAUUUAUUUAUAUUUUUGGGUUUAAUUGUUUAUAAUUUUUGGAUACUCUUAGAACUCAUUUGAUUGUUCUUUGCGACCGUUUAAUUCUUAACGUGAUAUGCGUAAUUAGCAGAAGUAGCUGAUUCGAUUGUAUUGUGCUAGCUAUUGUCUUUUGACCUAGGUAAGAAUUGAUAGUGACAUUCCUAUGAAGAUUUGCUCCAAUUGAGAAAUCAAAUAGGCAGAUAGGGGAAUUUUUCUGAUUAUACUAUAUGUUUAUCCAAUUUAUUUCAGUUUUGUGACCACUAUUUGACCUGAAUAAAGAAAAAAACCUAUAAGGAGACGGAGAGAUGGUAAAGAAUUGGCCAUAGAUCGACAAUUAGUAUUUUUUUUUCUUCUGCAUAUUUGAAUUGGGAUUGUUUUGACAUGGCUAUGAAUAAAAAAAAUAUUGCAUUUUUUGAAGUAAAUUUGCAGUUAAGAUGUUUAUACAAAUGUCUCACUAAGUCCAGCCAUUUUUUUGGCCAAAAUCCGUUUUCAGGUUUGGAUUUUUAAUUUUGAUUAAGCAAAUUGUUGUUGCCUGUUAUGUAGACUUGCUCAUUUUAUGUAUUUAGUUUAAUUUUGGGUUGCAUUUGUGUUGCAAUCUAUUGAAAUUUCAUAUUUUCAGCCCAGUCUAUUAUGUCAAAAAUUUUAACUGUUAGAUCAUUAUGAAAGUGUUUUACACAAAAAUUGAAAAAACAAAUCAUUCAGAAAAAUCUCAGUACAGGUAGCUGCUCACACUUGGUCGUAUAUCCCCUUAUAUGUGUACAAUGUCUUUGGCCUCUAUUUUCUCAAUAUAUGUGUGGUUGCGUCCUAUGAACGAUAAUAGCAUCUGUCUUGUCUUGGUUAUCAACUCGGUCGUCAUGGGUGUUGUGGUUUCUGCAUCCAAGUCUUGGCAGCGUGCUGGUACUUCUUUCUAGCAAGGGCGUUGCUGCUGGUAUACAUGGCUGCGUGCUGGUACUCCAUUACCCCCUAAACGUUAAUAUAUUUUCUGCAUUUUUGAUCCAUUCGCGUUUGGUUACCGAGAAACUUAUGGGGUGUUUGGUUGAAGUAUCCUAUGGGGUGUUUCAAAGGUCUCCAUAAGUUGGUUGUGGAUUUGAUUUAGUGUUAACUUUUUAUGAGCGGCAGCCCAUAGUUACAGUUGAGUGAAUUACCAUGUUUAUGGAAUCAAGGGUUAUUGUUAGGAAACUUAAUAUAAUCAUCUUUUCAAAACAGAAAGCAUUUCAAAAAUAUGUGCAACUGUGAAAGUAUUAGCUAAAAAAUUGGUAAAGCAUAAUAAUACAUGUAGUGGAUACAUGCCGGCUAGAAUUGAAGCUCUUCCAUGGGAGUGGAUUAUUUUUUUGAUGGAUAGGAUCUGGCUCUUUGAAGGCAGUUUUGUCAUCUUCUAAUUUUAAUACAAACUCUCUAGUUCUAGACCUUCCCUGUUACUAUGGAUAAAGACGUAAUAUGUGGAAUGCCUGCCUGACUUUUCAUAAUAUUUUAGUUUGNNNNNNNNNNNNNNNNNNNNNNNNNNNNNNNNNNNNNNNNNNNNNNNNNNNNNNNNNNNNNNNNNNNNNNNNNNNNNNNNNNNNNNNNNNNNNNNNNNNNAACUAAAUAAUGAGUCCUGACACGUAUAAAUGACUUAUAAUCCUGAUAUUUAUAAAUAUCUAUGUAAUAAAAUACAAUUAAUUUUAAAUUUUCCGUUAACCUUAAUAAAUCAUUUGGGUCGUUCAAAAUUUAAGAUAAAUCCCACCAUAUACGUAGUGUCGGAGGUACGAGACACAUCUAGUAUAUAUAUAGAAUUAGGAUCAGGUCCGAGAGUGCGGACCUGAUUAAAUACGGACCCUAUUUUAUUUUUUAUUUUUUUUUGCUUUUUUUUAAAAACAACUAAAAAAAAGUUUAAUAUUUUAUGGAACUGGAAUUUUUCCAUAAUACAGUGUUUUGGGUGUGAUCUGGAUACAUAUAACAAAAUAUGUAUGUACAGACUGUACAUACCUAUUUUGUUAUAUGUAACCAAAUCACACCCAAAAUACUGUAUUAUGUAAAAAUUCCAGUUCCAUAAAAUAUUAAACUUUUUUUUAGUAGUUUUUUUAAAAAAAAAGCAAAAAAAAAAAUCCGUAACUUAAGAAAAUGCGGGAGUCCGGAUAGGAACCGGACCCUAUAUAUAUAUGUGUGUGGAUGAAUUUGGUGAAGCUAUUUGUCAAAAUUUAAUCGACCUUUUCGUUGAUUGGAUUGAAUUUAUCAAAUGUAAGCAAUAUAUUAGUACUCAAAGGUCAUACCUAAUAUACUGCUAUACUGGAAUGUUAGAGGAGCUAUGGUGGUCCAUAUUGAGGUGCUUGUUAUUGAAACAAAUGUAAUUACAGUUUUCAACAAAAUUCAUUCUAAUAAGUCAAAGAAUCCACUUCUUCGACAGUUUUAAGGAGGCUUUUAAAUUUAUCUAAUCAAAUAUAAUACGCCAUCAAUUGUCGCACCAUUGCAAUCGUUAGAAUUUUUACAAUCUAAUUGUAUUUUAUUUUCAUCCAUUACAAUUUGCAUGCUGUGACUUACCCAAGUAUGUGUUUGUAUUUGUACGUGUCAUUUGCUAAUUUAUUUUAUCCAUUCCCCCCCUCAUUUUGUGGCUAUAUAUAUGCAGGUCUAUAUGUCAUGUGUCGCGCAUGGCCAUAGGUAAGCUUCUUAGCCUUCUUAUAUGCAUAGUGGUUUGCUGUUAAGAAUCCUUGUCUAACAGUUAAUUAUAGUAAUUAGCAAUUGAAAGGUUGAUUUAACUAACAGUUAUACCCACAAUUUAAACCUUAUAUGUUGCCUAGUAACUAGUAUUUUUCUUGAUUGAUAUUAAAUGGUACUUUGAUUUUUAGAUGAUUCAUGAUUAGCACUUUAUUGCCAGAGUUGGAGUUUCUUAUUAUGAUUCCAGUAUUCGCCAUCUUUAUGUGAUGGAAUUUUGGGAGGAUGGGAGCUCUGAUUUUUCUCUGAUUGAUAUAGGUAAGAGAUUUUGUCUCAUUGCUAGAAUAGGAGUCAAUUUCAUGUAACCCUGACCAGAUUUUGUUUUAUGUUUACUACAAUUGACAGGGAGGAAUAUGUAUUACUUGUUGACAUUAAAUUACUUCCUUGAUUAUCUGAUUUUUAUAUGAUGUUGGUUGUCAUUUAUUAAGGAAUCAUAUAUUGUUUAACAUGUAACUUUCUAUGUUGUGCAUAUAAUACAAGUACUUUUGACUGAUUCUGGUUCAGUUAAAUCCCAAGCGAAGCCCCAAGUCAUAUACACAAGCACUAAGAGCGAAGAAUCCCUUUUGUCUGCUUUACAACAAAAUG